RNAcentral lists this ribosomal RNA (1306 nucleotides) under uncultured bacterium. Its description in RNAcentral is "bacterial SSU rRNA". It matches the Rfam family "Bacterial small subunit ribosomal RNA", at positions 28 to 1381 of the family's 1533-position model. The record is from RNAcentral.
AACGUACGCUGGCGGCACGCCUAACACAUGCAAGUCGAACGAAGUAGCAAUACUUAGUGGCAGACGGGUGAGUAACAUGUAGGUAUCUGCCCUUUGGCCUGGAAUAACACGAGGAAACUUGUGCUAAUACCGGAUAAGUCUUUACGGAGAAAGCUUUAUGCACCAUUGGAUGAGCCUGCACUUGAUUAGUUUGUUGGUGGGGUAAUGGCCUACCAAGACUGUGAUCAAUAGCUGAUUUGAGAGGAUGAUCAGCCACAUUGGGACUGAGACACGGCCCAAACUCCUACGGGAGGCAGCAGUGGGGAAUCUUGCACAAUGGAGGAAACUCUGAUGCAGCGAUGCCGCGUGAGUGAAGAAGGCCCUUGGGUUGUAAAGCUCUUUCGUCGGGGAAGAAAAUGACUGUACCCGAAUAAGAAGGUCCGGCUAACUUCGUGCCAGCAGCCGCGGUAAUACGAAGGGACCUAGCGUAGUUCGGAAUUACUGGGCUUAAAGAGUUCGUAGGUGGUUGAAAAAGUUAGUGGUGAAAUCCCAGAGCUUAACUCUGGAACUGCCAUUAAAACUUUUCAGCUAGAGUAUGAUAGAGGAAAGCAGAAUUUCUAGUGUAGAGGUGAAAUUCGUAGAUAUUAGAAAGAAUACCAAUUGCGAAGGCAGCUUUCUGGAUCAUUACUGACACUGAGGAACGAAAGCAUGGGUAGCGAAGAGGAUUAGAUACCCUCGUAGUCCAUGCCGUAAACGAUGUGUGUUAGACGUUGGAAAUUUAUUUUCAGUGUCGCAGGGAAACCGAUAAACACACCGCCUGGGGAGUACGACCGCAAGGUUAAAACUCAAAUGAAUUGACGGGGACCCGCACAAGUAGUGGAGCAUGUGGUUUAAUUCGAAGAUACGCGCAGAACCUUACCAACACUUGACAUGUUCGUCGCGACUCUAAGAGAUUAGAGUUUUCGGCUCGGCCGGACGAAACACAGGUGCUGCAUGGCUGUCGUCAGCUCGUGUCGUGAGAUAUUGGGUUAAGUCCCGCAACGAGCGCAACCCUCACUUUUAGUUGCCAUCAUUAAGUUGGGCACUCUGAAAGAACUGCCAGUGAUAAGCUGGAGGAAGGUGGGGAUGACGUCAAGUCCUCAUGGCCCUUACGUGUUGGGCUACACACGUGCUACAAUGGUAUCUACAACAGGAAGCAAGACUGCGAAGUUAAGCAAAUCCCUAAAAGAUACCUCAGUUCGGAUUGCACUCUGCAACUCGAGUGCAUGAAGCUGGAAUUACUAGUAAUCGUGGAUCAGCGUGCCACGGUGAAUGCGUUCCCGGGUCU